RNAcentral lists this ribosomal RNA (468 nucleotides) under uncultured bacterium. Its description in RNAcentral is "partial 16S ribosomal RNA". It matches the Rfam family "Bacterial small subunit ribosomal RNA", at positions 28 to 507 of the family's 1533-position model. The record is from RNAcentral.
GACGAACGCUGGCGGCGUGCUUAACACAUGCAAGUCGAACGGAAAGGCCCUGCUUUUGUGGGGUGCUCGAGUGGCGAACGGGUGAGUAACACGUGGGUAACCUGCCCUUGACUUUGGGAUAACUUCAGGAAACUGGGGCCAAUACCGGAUAGGAGCUCCUGCUGCAUGGUGGGGGGUGGAGAGUUUCGGCGGUUGGGGAGGGACUCGCGGCUUAUCAGCUUGUUGGUGGGGUAGUGGCUUACCAAGGCUUUGACGGGUCGCCGGCCUGAGGGGGGGACCGGCCAAAUUGGGACUGAGAUACGGCCCGAACUCCUCCGGGAGGAAGCAGUGGGGAAUAUUGAACAAUGGGCGGAAGCCUGAUGCAGCAACGCGGCGGGGGGGAUGACGGCUUUCGGGUUGUAAACCGCUUUCGCAUGUGACGAAGGGUGAGUGACGGUAAUGGGUAAAGAAGCACCGGCUAACUACGUG